AUUGAACGCUGGCGGCAGGCCUAACACAUGCAAGUCGAGCGGAUGAAGGGAGCUUGCUCCUGGAUUCAGCGGCGGACGGGUGAGUAAUGCCUAGGAAUCUGCCUGGUAGUGGGGGAUAACGUCCGGAAACGGGCGCUAAUACCGCAUACGUCCUGAGGGAGAAAGUGGGGGAUCUUCGGACCUCACGCUAUCAGAUGAGCCUAGGUCGGAUUAGCUAGUUGGUGGGGUAAAGGCCUACCAAGGCGACGAUCCGUAACUGGUCUGAGAGGAUGAUCAGUCACACUGGAACUGAGACACGGUCCAGAAUCCUACGGGAGGCAGCAGUGGGGAAUAUGGGACAAUGGGCGAAAGCCUGAUCCAGCCAUGCCGCGUGGGUGAAGAAGGUCUGCGGAUUGUAAAGCACUUUAAGUUGGGAGGAAGGGCAGUAAGUUAAUACCUUGCUGUUUUGACGUGACCAACAGAAUAAGCACCGGCUAACUUCGU
RNAcentral lists this ribosomal RNA (483 nucleotides) under uncultured bacterium. RNAcentral's name for it is "partial 16S ribosomal RNA". It matches the Rfam family "Bacterial small subunit ribosomal RNA", at positions 30 to 506 of the family's 1533-position model. The record is from RNAcentral.